Strigops habroptila (Kakapo) is the source of this 1419-nucleotide long non-coding RNA. RefSeq lists it as uncharacterized. The record is from RefSeq and is a predicted model, not a curated record. NCBI's taxonomy places the organism in Eukaryota, Metazoa, Chordata, Aves, Psittaciformes, Psittacidae. The transcript has 2 exons.
AUCUUUAAAGUGUGUUGUUGACUUAGUUGUUUGGUUGGAGUGUUUUUUUAAGUUAAUGAAUAGAAACUUUUAUACUUGUAUACACAAUUAUGAUUGGUUCUGGGCGUAUUGGUUCUGGCUGGGAUGUCAUUGAGUGAGCGUUACAAAGUUUGUAUAGUAGGAAAUAAAGUGGAAAAGAUUUCCAAGACAUAGGAAGAAUGUUAAGAAACCAUGAAGAAAGAAUAUAAGUGAUCUGGGAGAGGGAAAUACAUGUUAAUGUUUACUUGCACGCUUGAUAAAAAUGACUGGAUAGAGCCCUGAGCCUAGUAUGAUCUCAUCACUGAGCCUGCUUUGGGCAAAUCAGACUAGAGACCUCUUCAUGCACCUUAUCUGAAUUCUCCCUAUCAGCUGGGUGUAAAGCUUCGUUUUGGAGUAGGAAUGUGAAGAACUAUCAUUUAUCACUGGAUUAAGAUAAUCCUAUUAUUAUUUAUCUGAAUCCUAAGGUGUUUACUGUUUAAUAAAAGUUGGGGAAUAAGUUUUGUUAAAGAAACAAGAUAUCAACAACAUUUCUUGCCUAAUUCUAUUUGCUUACAGCAUGUCUGUAACAGAUACUUGGCAUAUGCAGCUAUGGAAGUGCAGUGCUGAAACUUGCCUAGUAAGAAGUCUGUGAAUGCUAUUGAAAUAUUCCUAAACUGUGAUUGUGUGUUUGAUUGGUUGCUUGCGUUUUGUUUCUUUGUUGGCUAUUUUUUGGUUGUUUGGGGUAGUUGGUUUUGUUUGUUUUAAAAAGAGAAAAGAAAAAGUGAUAAUCCUAUUGGGAAAAAAGAGUCCUCUGUAUAUUUGAAACCUGAUCUACUUUGAUAGCCACAGCUUUUAUUCCCACUGUUAUUCCAGAACUAAUGAAGUGAACGGGGAGCAAACUGUUCCUUCCUGUGCAUCAACAAUUUCAUAUGUUUAGGUUACAAUAUUUUUCAAACUGUGCAGGCUAUGUCACUGGAAGGAACCACUCAAUUCCAAAAUUCUGGGAGUUUUCAAAAAUGAGUGUUAGAUAUGAAAGAAAACUGCUUCGGUCUAAAUUAAGGAUGCUUUUAAAAUGUGCUGAACUUGCGUUGUGACACUGCAUGGAGUUCUGAAGAGACAGGCAGUAAAACAAGUACCAUGUGCUGUACUUUUCAUCGUAUUAAAAAAUCAAUUGUGCUUUUCAAAUCUGCUCAGGAUGCUUUAGCUUCCUUGAAUUUGUUACCACUCGUCUUUUGGGAACCGAAACUGAGAACUGAAGCUCUUGUACUGUUGUUACAGCACCUUGCUUUUUUGAUUUUUUUUAAUAAUAUCACAGCUUCAGUGCUCCUGUUUGAGGCUGCUGUUCCAUUUUAAACUCAUAGUAAGUAUGCAAUGGAUAGCUGUGUCCAUGGAAAGGCUGUGAAUUGGCACUUUACAUGUUUC